RNAcentral lists this ribosomal RNA (465 nucleotides) under Vreelandella stevensii. Its description in RNAcentral is "partial 16S ribosomal RNA". It matches the Rfam family "Bacterial small subunit ribosomal RNA", at positions 338 to 795 of the family's 1533-position model. Lineage: Bacteria; Pseudomonadati; Pseudomonadota; Gammaproteobacteria; Oceanospirillales; Halomonadaceae. The record is from RNAcentral.
CCUACGGGUGGCAGCAGUGGGGAAUAUUGGACAAUGGGCGAAAGCCUGAUCCAGCCAUGCCGCGUGUGUGAAGAAGGCCUUCGGGUUGUAAAGCACUUUCAGUGGGGAAGAAAGCCUUGGGGCUAAUACCCUCGAGGAAGGACAUCACCCACAGAAGAAGCACCGGCUAACUCCGUGCCAGCAGCCGCGGUAAUACGGAGGGUGCGAGCGUUAAUCAGAAUUACUGGGCGUAAAGCGCGCGUAGGCGGUCUGAUAAGCCGGUUGUGAAAGCCCCGGGCUCAACCUGGGAACGGCAUCCGGAACUGUCAGGCUAGAGUGCAGGAGAGGAAGGUAGAAUUCCCGGUGUAGCGGUGAAAUGCGUAGAGAUCGGGAGGAAUACCAGUGGCGAAGGCGGCCUUCUGGACCGACACUGACGCUGAGGUGCGAAAGCGUGGGUAGCAAACAGGAUUAGAUACCCCUGUAGUC